Long non-coding RNA from Gambusia affinis (western mosquitofish), 1519 nucleotides. RefSeq lists it as uncharacterized. Lineage: Eukaryota; Metazoa; Chordata; Actinopteri; Cyprinodontiformes; Poeciliidae. The transcript has 3 exons. The record is from RefSeq and is a predicted model, not a curated record.
UACAUUGUUGUUAAAAAAUAUCCGUUGUUUUAGUAACUAGGUAAUGUUUUGUUACUGUGUUGGAAAGAAGGAUUAAAGCUAGAACGGCUUGGUAAAGUCCUGUAUUUCUGCUGGUCCUGUCUGUUGACAGGUCAGGUUUUUUUUUUAUACUGGAUCAUUCCUGAAGUGGAUACCUCCUUUGAUCUUGAUGGCGAGCCUUCCCACCUGGACCUAAAGAGAGAACCAGAUUUCGCCUAUCCCAUUUGGAGUCCUGCUGCACCCUGCGGUGUGAUCUCAGUUCUGGAUGGAUCUCAUGAACAAUUUCAAGGAAAGACAUCUCUUCAAUGGAAGUCAUGAGCACACAUGCCUUGUGCGGUUUGUCUUCAUGGACAUGCUACAGAGAGAUCUUGAUGAAUGCAAGGACAGGUGGAAUAAACAUACCAUAACACCUGUUAAACAAUCUUGCUGUCCAUCUGGUAAACCAGAUGUGAUGUAUCAUCUACCUCACAGGUUUGGUGGAACAGACUGUGGUUUCCCAGUCUCCCAGGAGCAAUUGGGACAGUUUGGGACCGAGACUAACAACAUUCAUUGUGGAGAUGAACACCUUCAGGCACAUUUUGAGAACCUCCAGAGACAGUGUGGCCUAGCACAUCCACAGAGUUGGGAAUCAUGUGUCGAAAACUAUAUCAAACUGAAAAACAUGGCAGACUUAUAAACAAACAAGAAUCCAAAUUUGAAGGUCGCACACAAACACUAAACAGUGUCAUAACUGAACAGGUUUGACAAGUUAAAUAGUUAGCAUUUUGUUUUGUUGUUAUGCAUUUGACCUUAAUAAAGCCCAAACCCAGGGGAGUUUUGAAUCCCAAAGUCCAUGUCUUCUUUAAACUGAUGAUACGUCUUGGACAUUGGUAUUUUGAUAGUGUUGGAGCAGGUGCUACUGACAGGAAAACGAGAAGUGGCCUGAAAGAUCAGUUUUGGUGGUGGCAGAAUUGAAGAUGGAGGUAGUGUGUUCAAGCCGGUGGCAAACAUCAGGAUGUCCUGGAGAGAGAGACCUGUUUUUUGUUCUAGAAAAGAAGCAAUGACUUUAUGUAUCAGAUAUUACAAUAACACCAGAAUAUAGCAAUAAAUCUUAAAGUCCACCUUCUGUGUCAAGGAGAAAGUCUCUCCAGAAUCCUAGCACUCUUGUUUCCUCAUGUCGUCUGCUGCUACCCUUUUCACUGAGCUGAACCUCAAAUAUUUCCUCCAAUAUUUUGGAUGUCAGCUGUUCCACUCCUGCACACAUAAAUGGCCUGAAGACGGAAGCAUGCUGCUCCAAAGCAUUCUGGAAGUUCAGUGUUGAAAGUCCAUCCUUGAAUCUAUAAAAAGUUUGAAACAGAAAUCACCUUAAUUAUUAUCAAAAGAGCUGAUAUUUUUCAGUAACACAAAGAACAUUAAUAUGUCUAAUCUUUUUUUUAUUAUUUUUAUUUAGCAUAGGUAAUAUUGCUGAUGCACUGUACACAGUGAAUUAACCUACAGUAACGUUCAUUUUCUCCAGUUAAGC